This 1164-nucleotide ribosomal RNA is filed under the name uncultured organism. RNAcentral's name for it is "bacterial SSU rRNA". It matches the Rfam family "Bacterial small subunit ribosomal RNA", at positions 99 to 1254 of the family's 1533-position model. The record is from RNAcentral.
CGGACGGGUGAGUAACACGUAGGUGAUCUGCCCUUGAGUUGGGGAUAGCCCAUGGAAACAUGGGGUAAUACCGAAUACGCUCCGGAUGCUAUGGCAACUGGAGGAAAAGCGCUUCGGCGCUGCUCGAGGAUGAGCCUGCGGCUGAUUAGUUAGUUGGUGGGGUAACGGCCUACCAAGGCGACGAUCAGUAGCCGGCCUGAGAGGGUGAACGGCCACACUGGGACUGAGAUACGGCCCAGACUCCUACGGGAGGCAGCAGCUAAGAAUCUUCUGCAAUGGACGAAAGUCUGACAGAGCGACGCCGCGUGGGUGAAGAAGGCCGGAAGGUUGUAAAACCCUUUUCUAUUCGAGGAAUAAUCGCAGGAGGCAAUGCCUGCGAGAUGACGGUAGGGUAGGACUAAGCCCCGGCCAAUUACGUGCCAGCAGCCGCGGUAACACGUAUGGGGCGAGCGUUGUUCGGAAUCAUUGGGCGUAAAGGGCGCGUAGGCGGAUAUGCAAGCUUGGUGUGAAAGACCGCAGCUCAACUGCGGGACCGCGCUGAGAACUGCAUGUCUAGAGUUCAAGAGGGGAAGCUGGAAUUCCAGGUGUAGGGGUGAAAUCUGUAGAGAUCUGGAAGAACAUCAGUGGCGAAGGCGAGCUUCUGGCUAUGAACUGACGCUGAGGCGCGAAAGCGUGGGGAGCAAACAGGAUUAGAUACCCUGGUAGUCCACGCUGUAAACGAUGUGCACUAGGUGUUGGGCCGCUGAAGGCUCAGUGCCGUAGCUAACGCGUUAAGUGCACCGCCUGGGGAGUAUGCUCGCAAGAGUGAAACUCAAAGGAAUUGAUGGGGGCCCGCACAAGCGGUGGAGCAUGUGGUUUAAUUAGAUGAUACGUGAGAAACCUUACCAGGGCUUGACAUAUUCUGGAAUGCGCAUGAGAGUGCGCAGCCCUUCGGGGCCGGUAUACAGGUGUUGCAUGGCUGUCGUCAGCUCGUGCCGUGAGGUGUUGGGUUAAGUUCCGCAAUGAGCGCAACCCGUAUUGUCUGUGGCCAGCAUUUGGGAGGGGGACUCAGACAAGACGGCCGGCGACAAACCGGAGGAAGGUGGGGAUCGACGUCAAGUCAUCAUGGCCCUUAUGUCCUGGGCUACACACGUGCUACAAUGGCCGGUACAAAGCGAAGCAAAA